RNAcentral lists this ribosomal RNA (484 nucleotides) under uncultured bacterium. RNAcentral's name for it is "partial 16S ribosomal RNA". It matches the Rfam family "Bacterial small subunit ribosomal RNA", at positions 30 to 507 of the family's 1533-position model. The record is from RNAcentral.
AUUGAACGCUAGCGGGAUGCUUUACACAUGCGAGUCGAACGGCAGCGCGGACUUCGGUCUGGCGGCGAGUGGCGAACGGGUGAGUAAUGUAUCGGAACGUGCCCAGUAGCGGGGGAUAACUACGCGAAAGCGUAGCUAAUACCGCAUACGCCCUACGGGGGAAAGCAGGGGAUCGUAAGACCUUGCACUAUUGGAGCGGCCGAUAUCGGAUUAGCUAGUUGGUGAGGUAACGGCUCACCAAGGCGACGAUCCGUAGCUGGUUUGAGAGGACGACCAGCCACACUGGGACUGAGACACGGCCCAGACUCCUACGGGAGGCAGCAGUGGGGAAUUUUGGACAAUGGGGGCAACCCUGAUCCAGCCAUCCCGCGUGUGCGAUGAAGGCCUUCGGGUUGUAAAGCACUUUUGGCAGGAAAGAAACGUCGCGGGCUAAUACCCCGUGGAACUGACGGUACCUGCAGAAUAAGCACCGGCUAACUACGUA